Molecule: ribosomal RNA, 600 nt
Filed under: uncultured bacterium
Lineage: Bacteria
Description: bacterial SSU rRNA
Rfam family: Bacterial small subunit ribosomal RNA
Source: RNAcentral
GACGAACGCUGGCGGCGUGCUUAACACAUGCAAGUUGAACGGGACGGAUAUUGAAGCGACUUUUCGGAGUGGUGGAUAUAUUUGUUUAGUAGCGGACGGGUGAGUAAUGCAUGAGAACCUGCCCUUCAGAGGGGGACAACAGUUGGAAACGGCUGCUAAUACCCCAUAUGCCGAGAGGUGAAAGGAGCGAUCCGCUGAAGGAGUGGCUCAUGUCCUAUCAGCUAGUUGGUGAGGUAAGUGCUCACCGAGGCGAUGACGGGUAGCCGGCCUGAGAGGGCGACCGGCCACACUGGAACUGAGAUACGGUCCAGACUCCUACGGGAGGCAGCAGUGGGGAAUAUUGGGCAAUGGGCGGAAGCCUGACCCAGCGACGCCGCGUGAGGGAAGAAGGCCUUUGGGUCGUAAACCUCUGUUGUAUGGGAAGAAGGAAGUGACGGUACCAUACGAGGAAGUCCCGGCUAACUACGUGCCAGCAGCCGCGGUAAUACGUAGGGGACGAGCGUUGUCCGGAAUUACUGGGCGUAAAGGGCGCGCAGCGGAUAUUUAAGUCAGCUGUUAAAGUCAUGGGCUCAACUCAUGGAUGCNGGUGAACCUGGGUAU